RNAcentral lists this ribosomal RNA (662 nucleotides) under Lysinibacillus sphaericus. RNAcentral describes it as "bacterial SSU rRNA". It matches the Rfam family "Bacterial small subunit ribosomal RNA", at positions 68 to 711 of the family's 1533-position model. The record is from RNAcentral. Lineage: Bacteria; Bacillati; Bacillota; Bacilli; Caryophanales; Bacillaceae.
GAACAGAGAAGGAGCUUGCUCCUUUGACGUUAGCGGCGGACGGGUGAGUAACACGUGGGCAACCUACCUUAUAGUUUGGGAUAACUCCGGGAAACCGGGGCUAAUACCGAAUAAUCUGUUUCACCUCAGGUGAAAUAUUGAAAGACGGUUUCGGCUGUCGCUAUAGGAUGGGCCCGCGGCGCAUUAGCUAGUAUGGUGAGGUAACGGCUCACCAAGGCGACGAUGCGUAGCCGACCUGAGAGGGUGAUCGGCCACACUGGGACUGAGACACGGCCCAGACUCCUACGGGAGGCAGCAGUAGGGAAUCUUCCACAAUGGGCGAAAGCCUGAUGGAGCAACGCCGCGUGAGUGAAGAAGGAUUUCGGUUCGUAAAACUCUGUUGUAAGGGAAGAACAAGUACAGUAGUAACUGGCUGUACCUUGACGGUACCUUAUUAGAAAGCCACGGCUAACUACGUGCCAGCAGCCGCGGUAAUACGUAGGUGGCAAGCGUUGUCCGGAAUUAUUGGGCGUAAAGCGCGCGCAGUGGUUUCUUAAGUCUGAUGUGAAAGCCCACGGCUCACCCGUGGAGGGUCAUUGGAAACUGGGAGACUUGAGUGCAGAAGAGGAUAGUGGAAUUCCAAGUGUAGCGGUGAAAUGCGUAGAGAUUUGGGAGGAACACCA